GUUCAAACGAGGAAGGGCUUACGGUGGAUACCUAGGCACACAGAGACAAGGAAGGGCAUGGUAAGCGAUGAAAUGCUUCAGGGAGUUGAAAAUGAGCAUAGAUCUGGAGAUUCCUGAAUAGGUUAACCUUUUUAACUGUUGCUUAAUCCAUGGGUAGGCAAGAGACAAGUUGGUGAACUAAAACAUCUUAGUAGCUAGAGGAAUAGAAAGAAAAAUCGAUUCCCAUAGUAGCGGCGAGUGAAAUGGGAGCAUCCUAAACCGUGAAAACGGGGUUGUGGGAGAGCACAAUAUAAGCUCUAUGCUGCUAGGCGAAGUGGUUGAGUCCUACACCCUAGAUGGUGAGAGUCCAAUAGCCAAAAGCAUCAUUGGGUUACGCUCUAUUCCGAGUAGCAUGGGGCACGUGGAAUCCCAUGUGAAUCAGCAAGGAGCACCUUGCAAGGAUAAAUACUCCUGUGUGACCGAUAGCGAAGUAGUACCGUGAGGGAAAGGUGAAAAGAACCCCCAUUGGGGAGUGAAAUAGAACAUGAUACCGUAAUAUCCCAAGAAGUGGGAGGAAAAUGAUAUCUUUGACCACUUGCCUAUUGAAUAAUGAGUCGAUGACUUAUAGGCAGUGGCUUGGUUAAGGGAACCCACCGGAGCCGUAGCGAGAGUGAGUCUUCAUGGGGCAAUUGUCACUGCUUAUGGACCCGAACUUGGGUGAUCUAUCCAUGACCAGGAUGAAGCUUGGGUGAAACUAAGUGGAGGUCCGAACCGACUGAUGUUGAAAAAUCAAUGGAUGAGUCGUGGUUAGGGGUGAAAUUCCACUCGAACCCAGAGCUAGCUGGUUCUCCCCGAAAUGCAUUGAGGCGCAGCAAUUGACUGGACCAUCUAGGGGUAAAUCACUGUUUCGGUACGGGCCGCGAGAGAGGUACCAAAUCAAGGCAAACUCUAAAUACUAGAUUGCCCCAAUAAAAGGAUCGAGCGCUCUUGCGCCGAAUAUGAAUGGGACUAAGCGAUCUGUCGAAGCUGUGGGAUGUAAAAAUACAUCGGUAGGGGAGUGUUCUACCUCAGAGGGAAGCACCGGUGCGAGCAGGUGUGGAUAAAGCGAAAGCAAGAAUGUCGGCUUGAGUAAUGCAAACAUUGGUGAGAAUCCAAUGCCCUGAAAACCUAAGGGUUCCUCUGCAAGGUUCAUCCACGGAGGGUGAGUCAGGGCCUAAUAUCAGGCCAAAAGGCAUAGUUGAUGGACAACAGGUUAAUAUUCAUGUACUACCCCUUGUUGGUCCCGAGGGACGAAGGAGGCUAGGUUAUCUGAAAUAUGGUUAUCAGUUCAAGGACACAAGGUGACCCUCUAUACAUUGGUUCAAAGGUAAAAGAAGAAUCAAAUAUAGGUGUGUAAAAGGUGAGGUCGGGGGUGGAUAUUCCUCAUCAUCUACUCUAGCACACAAAAAUCCAAUAUGGAUUAUCCAAACAUUACAGGAUGCACAGAAUCAUGUAGGAGCGUCCAUAUCAUCAAUGAGGGUGAGUAUACCUCCUAGGAGAUAUGUUAACCAUAUUGUAUUAGAUUCUUCCAUUUGUGAUCUUUACAAUUGUUUUGAGGAG
Picea glauca (white spruce) is the source of this 1578-nucleotide non-coding RNA. Lineage: Eukaryota; Viridiplantae; Streptophyta; Pinopsida; Pinales; Pinaceae. The record is from Rfam.